This is a long non-coding RNA of Papaver somniferum (opium poppy), 936 nucleotides long. RefSeq lists it as uncharacterized. NCBI's taxonomy places the organism in Eukaryota, Viridiplantae, Streptophyta, Magnoliopsida, Ranunculales, Papaveraceae. The transcript has 2 exons. The record is from RefSeq and is a predicted model, not a curated record.
AGGGUUUACAGUCCCCGAGACUGGUUGAAGAAGAAACGGAGAUGAAUUAAUCGAUCUACGAGCUCUCUUGGUUGUAUCGACCUAGGUCAAAAUUCCCCACUUUGGGUUUCAUUCUCAUAAAAUAUUUCUUCAUCGAUGCAAUCCGUUUCGAAGUCACAAUAUGGAACUAGGAAUAAUCGGAUACUGAAUCCAAGGAGAAGAAAUUCAGUUGACAGCGGUGAAUUCAUCACAACUGCCACCGUUCGUUCUCAACCACAGAAUUCCCAAGUUGCAGCUUCCUCACAGUCUCUAGUGCUGGAAUCUGCAUGAAUCAAUAAAAGUGAUUUAGAAAUAAUCAAUAAAUUUUUAGGCUUGAGUUUAAUCUACUGUCCUUCUGCAAUACCUUAUUUUCCAAAUCAUUAGUUGUUUAUGGUGCAAGUUUCUUUAAUAUGAUGUCUUAAAUCAUUUUAUUUAGGUUUUCUUAUCCUGCUUCUUAUGUUGUUGUAUAGGUGGUCAGGCCUGCCAUUGUGCCUGUGCCGCUGAUCGGACUGGACAGGCCUCGUUCCACACUCUGUAUGGUUGGGCACUGAAGCAUAUUUCUUUGAGGAAUACUUUGCAUUGGGUCAUAUGAUGGAUAGUAGUGGUCAGUAGGUAGCGUCCAGUUUCAUUAUUUAAUGUUUUUAGUAGGUAGCCUUAAUUACUCAUGUGGAAAAUUAAUAUCACAAGUACUUUGCUUGCUGACGGUCAGUUGUCCUGCUAUAUUGAUUAUGUAGCCAGUCCCCGCCGUUGUAUGUCUCAGAAACGGUUUGAUUACGGGGAAUUCGUCUCCUUAGGGCAUUGAUUCUUCAAAUAAGGAUGACAGUCAAUUCUUUUCCUAUGCCUAAACGUAGAAAUUCUUUUGUAGUCGGGAUCUUCAGCUGCUGCAAUACUAUUUCAGUACUAAGUGGUUUCACUUCA